This 433-nucleotide ribosomal RNA is filed under the name uncultured bacterium. RNAcentral's name for it is "partial 16S ribosomal RNA". It matches the Rfam family "Bacterial small subunit ribosomal RNA", at positions 29 to 507 of the family's 1533-position model. The record is from RNAcentral.
AACGAACGCUGGCGGCAGGCCUAACACAUGCAAGUCGAGCGAGGACUUCGGUUCUAGCGGCGGACGGGUGAGUAACGCGUGGGAACGUGCCCUUUGCUUCGGAAUAGCCCUGGGAAACUGGGAGUAAUACCGGAUGAGCCCUUUGGGGGAAAGAUUUAUCGGCGAAGGAUCGGCCCGCGUUGGAUUAGGUAGUUGGUGGGGUAAUGGCCUACCAAGCCGACGAUCCAUAGCUGGUUUGAGAGGAUGAUCAGCCACACUGGGACUGAGACACGGCCCAGACUCCUACGGGAGGCAGCAGUGGGGAAUCUUAGACAAUGGGGGAAACCCUGAUCUAGCCAUGCCGCGUGAGCGAUGAAGGCCUUAGGGUUGUAAAGCUCUUUCAGCUGGGAAGAUAAUGACGGUACCAGCAGAAGAAGCCCCGGCUAACUCCGUG